AACUUUCAACAAUGGAUCACUUGGCUUUCGCAUCGAUGAAGAACGCAGCGAAAUGCGAUAAGUAAUGUGAAUUGCAGAAUUCAGUGAAUCAUCGAAUCUUUGAACGCACCUUGCGCUCCUUGGUAUUCCGAGGAGCAUGCCUGUUUGAGUGUCAUUAAAUUCUCAACCUUAUCAGUUUAUUUCUGAUAGUGGCUUGGAUGUGGGGGUUUUCUUGCUGGCUGAGGUCAGCUCCCCUUAAAUGCAUUAGCUGGUGCCCCGUGUGGACUGUCUAUUGGUGUGAUAAUUAUCUACGCCAUGGAUGGUCUGCAAGCGCACUGCUUCUAACCGUCUGUUAAUUCGGACAAUACAAUGACAAUUUGACCUCAAAUCAGGUAGGACUACCCGCUGAACUUAAGCAUAUCAAUAAGCGGAGGCU
This 415-nucleotide unclassified non-coding RNA is filed under the name uncultured Hymenogaster. Its description in RNAcentral is "sequence contains ITS2". The stretch from base 1 to 154 matches the Rfam family "5.8S ribosomal RNA". Lineage: Eukaryota; Fungi; Basidiomycota; Agaricomycetes; Agaricales; Hymenogastraceae. The record is from RNAcentral.